Molecule: non-coding RNA, 3850 nt
Organism: Xyrichtys novacula (pearly razorfish)
Lineage: Eukaryota; Metazoa; Chordata; Actinopteri; Labriformes; Labridae
Source: the annotation of a GenBank genome assembly
ACACUCUAUCCUCCUGCCUGGACCAGCUCGCACCUCUCAAAACAAAAACGGUUUCAUUCAGACACUCUGCCCCCUGGUUUACCUCAGAACUACACAAAAUGAAAUCCCACAAACGACAACUGGAACGUCUAUACCGCAAAACCGGCCUCACCGUCCAUCUCCAAGCCUACACCGACCACCUCCACCUUUUACUCCAACCUCAUCCACUCCGGCUCCAGUAACCAAAAUCACCUUCACCCCGGAAAAGUGCAACACAUUCCUCUCCUCUUUUCAAUCCAAAAUCAACACAAUCUACAACUCCCUUCCCCCACCCUCCAUUCCCCGCUCCUCCCCUCAUCCCAUCAGCACUCUCCUGCUUCUCACCUGUUUCCUCAACCGAUGUGACCAAUAUCAUCUGGUCCAUGUCAUCAUCCACCUGCAUCCUGGAUCCCAUCCCAUCCUCCCUCAUCAAGCACUGCCUCCCCAUCAUCUCCCCCAUCAUCACACAGAUCAUCAACUCCUCCCUCAACUCCGCCACUGUUCCCCCUUCACUCAAACUGGCCGCUGUCACCCCCAUCCUCAAAAAACCCGGACUCAACCCCGACAACAUCAAUAACUUCCGGCCCAUCUCCAACCUCCCUUUCCUGUCAAAAAUCCUCGAACGUGUCAUUGCAUCACAAAUCAAAACCCACCUCAACAAUAACAACCUUUACAAACCGUUUCAAUCAGGAUUCCGCACCCACCACAGCACCGAAACUGCCCUCAUCAAAGUCACAAACGACCUCCUCAUUUCUGCUGACUCCGGCCAACUCUCCAUCCUCAUCCUCCUCGACCUCUCCGCUGCUUUCGACACCAUCGACCACGCCAUCCUCCUGUCCCGCCUACACUCCCUCCUCAAUAUCACAAACACCGCUCUUAACUGGAUCCACUCUUACCUCACAGACCGGAAUCACUUCAUCCACAUUAACAACUGCUCCUCCACAACUGCCCCCGUGUCCCAAGGUGUCACCCAGGGCUCGGUGCUUGGUCCCCUCCUCUUCAUCAUCUACCUCCUCCCUCUUGGCCACAUCCUCCGUCAACACAACCUCCACUUCCACUGCUACGCUGAUGACAUUCAAUUAUAUAUCUCUUCCAACUCCAUCACCCCCCAGACCCAACACUCCCUCUCAAACUGCCUCUCUGAUAUUAAACACUGGAUGGACAGCAAUCUUCUCAAACUCAACUAUGACAAAACAGAUCUCAUCGUCAUCAGCCCAAACUCCCUCACCUCCACAGUCACAGACUUUCAUCUCUCCAUUAACAACUCCACCCUCUCCCCCUCCCCCCACUGUCGCAACCUUGGUAUUCUCUUUGACAGCAACCUCACCUUCACACAGCAUGUAAAGCAAAUCACCAAAACAGCAUACUACCACCUCAAAAACAUUUCACGCCUCCGCCCCUCCCUCUCCUACCCUGCAGCUGAAACCCUCAUACAUGCAUUCAUCUCAUCUCAUCUAGAUUACUGUAACACUCUCCUCCAUGGCACUACCUCCACUCUCCUCAAUAAACUUCAGCUUAUCCAGAACUCAGCCGCCCGCCUCCUCACCCACACACGCUCCCACCAACACAUCACCCCCGUCCUCCAAAACCUUCACUGGCUCCCCAUCCCCCAUCGCAUUCAAUACAAAAUCCUCCUUCUCACCCACAAAGCACUCCACAACCUGGCCCCCCCCCCCACCUACAGGAUCUUCUCCACCCCUACACCCCCUCCCGCACCCUCCGCUCCGCCAAUGCCAACCUCCUCAUAGUUCCCCUGACCAAGCACCGAACCUGGGGGGACAGAGCCUUCUCAGUCGCCGCCCCCACCCUCUGGAACUCACUCCCACUCGAACUUAGAAACUGCACUGACCUCACCAGAUUCAAGACCCUUCUCAAAACCCACCUCUUCCGCACUGCCUUUCAUCCUCCUUAGCCUCCUUACACGUUUUUAUUGAUAUUGUUGUAAAUUUUAUUGCUUAUCGAUGUGUGUUUUAUUGUUAUUGCUUAACACAUGUACAGCGUCUUUGUGUUUUUGAAAAACGCUCGCUUUACAAAUAAAAUGUAUUAUUAUGAUUAUUAGGGCCCGAGCGUAGCUGCUAAGCAGCUGCGAGAGCCCUAUUAUUCCCCAAGUGGUUUUUAGGGCCCGAGCGUAGCUGCUAAGCAGCUGCGAGAGCCCUCUUGUUCCUGAUGGAUUCUUCUUUAGGGCCCGAGCGUAGCUGCUAAGCAGCUGCGAGAGCCCUCUUGUUCCUGUAGUUUCCUUCUUUUGUUAUUAUUAUUAUUAGGGCCCGAGCGUAGCUGCUAAGCAGCUGCGAGAGCCCUCUUGUUCCUGAUGGAUUCUUCUUUCGUUAUUUUUCCUCCGCUUUAAACUGGAAAAUGGCCCACUUCCCACUGGCGAAAACUCAGGAAAUUUGGCAGGACGACCGGGCCUGGUGAAAAAUUUGAUAUUCUGAAGUCGCCCAAACAAAAAAAUGAAAAAUGGCUGCAUAGCGCCCCCUAUGGUGAAAACUCACCUGACGCCUGUACACUUUGUCAAAAUGACACAAAAUUUGACACACAUGUGUAUCUCAAUAAGAUCUACAAAAAAGUCAGUGCGGGCGUAUCUGUCAAAUGUACCGUUAAAGGGCUAUUUCGCAUUUUUUGCCGAUCCGCACACAUUGGAAUUUCGCUAACUCCUCCGAAGGCUUUCGUUCCACCGGCACCACAUUUGCUCAGGCCAAUCUACACCCCAUGGCCAUUAAAAGUUGUACAAAUCAUGACGCUGCAACCCACGGUGAAGGUUCUAGGGGGCGCCAAAGAUAACCCAAAAAUCCACAUUCUUAAAAGUCUUAUAACUUUUUAUUUUUGUCCUCACUGGCCUCCAAGUUUUCUAGGAUGAUGCCAUGUCAAGCCAUCAACACAUUUGUGAAGGAAUUUUUACUCCCCAAAAGAGCGCCCCCCCAUGGCAGGAGAAAAAAGUCAAGUUUUUCUUGUCCCCUAACAUGAAAAUACACAUUGUUGAGUGUCACGCCUAAACGCUUUGUCAUAUUGACAAAACAUUUGACAAUCACGUGUAUCUCAAUAAGAUCUACAAAAAAGUCAUAGAGCGCGUAUCUGUAUAAUGUACGGUUAAAGGGCUAUUUUGCAUUUUUUGCCGAUCCGCACACAUUGGAAUUUCGCUAACUCCUCCGAAGGCUUUCGUUCCACCGGCACCAAAUUUGCUCAGGCCAAUCUACACCCCAUGGCCAUUAAAAGUUGUACAAAUCAUGACGCUGCAACCCACGGUGAAGGUUCUAGGGGGCGCCAAAGAUAACCCAAAAAUCCACAUUCUUAAAAGUCUUAUAACUUUUUAUUUUUGUCCUCACUGGCCUCCAAGUUUUCUAGGAUAAUGCAAUGUCCAGCCAUCAACACAUUUGUGAAGGAAAUUUUACUCCCCAAAAGAGCGCCCCCCAUGGCAGGAGAAAAAAGUCUAUUUUUUCUUGUCCCCUAAGGUGAAAAUACACAUUGUUUAGUGUCACGCCUGUACGCUUUGGCAAAAUGACACAAAUAUUAACACACACAUGUAUCUCAAUAAGAUCUACGAAAAAGUCAAUGCGCGCAUAUCUGUCAAAUGUACGGUUAAAGGGUUAUUCCGCAUUUUUUGCCGAUCCGCACACAUUGGAAUGUGGCUAACUCCUCCUAAGGCUUUCGUUCCACUGGCACCACAUUUGCUCAGGCCAAUCUACACCCCAUGGCCAUUAAAAGUUAUUCAAAUCAUGACGCUGCACCCCACGGUUUAGGUUCUAGGGGGCGCCAAAGAUAACCGUAAAAUCCACAUAUUUAAAAGUCUUAUAACUUCUUAUUUUUGUCCUCACUGGCCUCCAGGUUUUCUAGGAUG